RNAcentral lists this ribosomal RNA (400 nucleotides) under uncultured bacterium. RNAcentral's name for it is "bacterial SSU rRNA". It matches the Rfam family "Bacterial small subunit ribosomal RNA", at positions 356 to 773 of the family's 1533-position model. The record is from RNAcentral.
GGGGAAUAUUGCACAAUGGGGGAAACCCUGAUGCAGCGACGCCGCGUGAGCGAAGAAGUAUUUCGGUAUGUAAAGCUCUAUCAGCAGGGAAGAAAAUGACGGUACCUGACUAAGAAGCCCCGGCUAACUACGUGCCAGCAGCCGCGGUAAUACGUAGGGGGCAAGCGUUAUCCGGAUUUACUGGGUGUAAAGGGAGCGUAGACGGAGCAGCAAGUCUGAUGUGAAAACCCGGGGCUCAACCCCGGGACUGCAUUGGAAACUGUUGAUCUGGAGUGCCGGAGAGGUAAGCGGAAUUCCUAGUGUAGCGGUGAAAUGCGUAGAUAUUAGGAGGAACACCAGUGGCGAAGGCGGCUUACUGGACGGUAACUGACGUUGAGGCUCGAAAGCGUGGGGAGCAAAC